AAUUUAAUGAAGCAGGCAAAGAGAAAAAAUACACACAACGCAACACUCAAAAUGAACUAGAAAUAAAAUCGCAAGGAAUUGAAUAAUAGUCAGUCAUCUAUAAACCACUAAAGUAACUCGUUGUAAUUUCACCUUAAAUCAUGAAGCUAACUAUUUUGAUCGUUUUGUUUUUUUGGAGUGAUUGCAUUUGGCAGUAAAUUUUCCAAAGAUAAUGUUAACUUCUACAUAAUACAAAGCGAACAUAGUACACAUAAAUUAAAAUACAAUGAAUCCCAGAAACUUGAAGAAAUAAAUUUUAAUGUUGAAAUUGAGUGCAUAGUUUUGAUCCAUGGUUGGGUAUCGGGACCAUGGUUUUUAAAAGACUUCAAACGUGCCUAUUUUAGUAAACCACAAAGAGUAAAUCUAAUCGGCAUUGGUUGGCCGGUGGGUUCUUUUGAUAACUACUAUAACUCCGUAGCUCAUACGAAAAUAGUCGGGGACGCGAUUGCCAGUUUUAUCGCAUCAGCUAUUGAAAAUGGACUACUAAAAAUGAAAAAAAAAAAUACAAAUAAUAGGUCACAGCCUUGGUGCAUAUGUGGCCGGAUUUACAGGCAAAUAUUUGCAAGAUAGUGGAUUAAAAUUGCCUUGGAUAACAGCGUUAGAUCCAGCCGGCCCGUGUUUCAAUAACAAGGCAUGUGAAAGAAUCUGCGAUACGGAUGCAGAAUGGGUCGAAAACAUCCAUACAAAUGGGGGUAGCUUCGGUAUGUUCGAAUUCAUCGGACACUCUGAUUUCUACAUAAAUGGUGAAAGUUCCAGUUCCCAUGCCUAGACUGGAUAUGUUCACAUUUAAAAGCAGUUAAUUUCUAUCUACGCAUUAUCAAUAUGGAAGAACGGAUUGCUGGAUACCCGUGCGCAAGUAUGGAGGAAUUGAAAGCAAAAGAACAUUGCAAAAAUAACACAGUACGGUAUUAUUUUGGCACAAAGCCACAACCAAGAUAUCACGGUAUCGUUUACAUGCAUGGAAUAGGCGAAACAGAAGAAGAAAUAGAGAAUGAAAUUUAAAAAAUAUCAGAAAAAAAAAUUACCACGUUUGAAGUCUUUUAAAAACCAUGGUACUGAUACCCACCCAUGAAAACUACGCACUCAAUUUCAACAUUAAAAUUUAUUUCUUCAAGUUUCUGGGAUUCAUUGUAUUUUAAUUUAUGUGUAUUAUGUUCGCUUUGUUUUAUGUAGAAGUUUACAUUAUCUUUGAAAAAAUUUACUGCCAAAUGCAAUCACUG
Molecule: long non-coding RNA, 1259 nt
Organism: Sitodiplosis mosellana (orange wheat blossom midge)
Lineage: Eukaryota; Metazoa; Arthropoda; Insecta; Diptera; Cecidomyiidae
Exons: 4
Source: RefSeq, a predicted model, not a curated record